UACAGAGGUCCCAAGCGUUUGUUCGGAUUCACUGGGCGUAAAGGGUGCGCAGGUGGGUUGGCAAGUUUGAUGUGAAAGCCCCGGGCUUAACCCGGGAAUGGCAUUGAAUACUGCUGAUCUGGAGGAUUGGAGGGGGGACUGGAAUUCUUGGUGUAGCAGUGAAAUGCGUAGAUAUCAAGAGGAACACCAGUGGCGAAGGCGAGUCCCUGGACAAUACCUGACACUGAGGCACGAAAGCCAAGGGAGCAAACAGG
RNAcentral lists this ribosomal RNA (254 nucleotides) under uncultured bacterium. RNAcentral describes it as "partial 16S ribosomal RNA". It matches the Rfam family "Bacterial small subunit ribosomal RNA", at positions 524 to 776 of the family's 1533-position model. The record is from RNAcentral.